Long non-coding RNA from Tupaia belangeri chinensis (Chinese tree shrew), 1766 nucleotides. RefSeq lists it as uncharacterized. Lineage: Eukaryota; Metazoa; Chordata; Mammalia; Scandentia; Tupaiidae. The transcript has 3 exons. The record is from RefSeq and is a predicted model, not a curated record.
GCUGCUGGGUGCAGAGCCCGGGCGCCUUCCCACACAGGCCUGGUGUCACUCGCGCUGCCGGGAGAGGAGAGCCCAGGGCAAGCAGAGAAGGGUUCUGGGCCUGGCUGAACCUGACCAGCUCAGCUCCCUGGCACCAUGCCUGAGCCCUCCUGGAGCCGCGACACCGCCAUCUGUAAAACAGGGCUACACGUCUAGCCUGAAGAUUGCUUGAGCUGCUAGGAGCAGCCGCCCACCCCAGUACAGGGAAGCAGAGGGGCUCCGCAGAGAGUACAGGGUCCUGCUCCUUCCAACCCCCUGUCCUGGGGCCGGCGGGCCCUCAGCUGAGCACACACAUUUCACGGAACCCCGGUCUUCCGCCGCCUGCACACGGGAGUUGCACGUCACUCAGGCCGCAGAUCAAGCCGAGAACCUACCUCGCACCAGGACGUACCCGAGGAGCUGGGGACACCAGACAGACACCAAGGGGGCGGCACCGAUGUAAACGCACAGCACGCAGGACCCGGUUGAAGGACACCAGGCCAUGGAGAGACCCAGGACUCGAACCGCAGUGGACUACGUGGGAGUCUAGCAACGUAAUCAUUAUGACAUCUGCUGGUCCCUUGUCAGACAUUUCUAAAGAACUGUGUCAGCCAGUGGCAGGCCUGGAGUGGAGGACGCCCACCUACCAGCUUGGCACCCACUGGCCCAGCGCCCACGGUGACCCCUGUCCAGCUUAGUGGGAGUCAGGACUGGGGCGUGGCCCACCAGGGGCUCCACCUCCGCUGGUCAUCUUGGCAGCCCUCCGCCGAGGUCACUGGCUGUCCUUACAGGAGGCCGGACUUUCAGACAGCCUGAACGCUGACCUCCCACUGCCCUCUCCUGGCCACUGGACCAGAGCAGGCCCUUUAGUUCUAGGAGGGCAAGGCCCAGCUGCAGCUGGACAGAGAGCUCCUCCCUGGACAGAGACGUCCCGGACCAGGAGUCAGGGCUUUGGGCCUAGCCCUGCUCAUCCCACAUGGAAGCCACGCCCAUCUGUGGCCAGGAGCCCUGGAAACGUGCCCAGUGGCUCCCAGGAAAAGGACCACGCUGUGGCCAGCAUCGCACUGCAGGAGCAUGGGGCUCCAGUGCACUGGCCGGCAAACCACCGCUCUGGAAGACGGGAGUCAGCCCAGGUGACCUCGGCUGUCCAUGGCGGAGGGGCGCAUGCGGUGCUCUGAGCACUGGUUCAGGAGCCCCCAACGAAGCCCUGCAGGGACACGGGCUGCGGCACCUGCCCCACCUCUCGACCGCCCUGGCCCAUCUCCCAGCCCCUCCCCCCAGGCCUCCUGCUCCUGCCUGGGACACUGUCCCUGAGGCCUUCGCUGGGUGGCCACUACGUGGCGGGCCGCCCUCAGAGCCCUGGGGAAGCCGCGGCUCUGCACAUCACACUUCGUGCUUGCUUCCCCUUCCCUGCCUGGUUUUUCAUUCCUAUUGACAUCGUUAUGAAUUUAUUUAUUUCUUCCAUGAACGAGAGAGACACAGAGAGACACAGAGAAAGAGAGACAGCACCCCCAACAGGGUCCUGAUGCUGCAGUCCACAGCCAGCCCCAGCCAGUCCCCAUGGCAGCACACGCAUGCCCUGGGCACCCAGCCGUCCCCACACAGCCCGGAGCCCUCUGUGUGGGCCAGCCCUGCCAGGCGUCUCACUUUCCUGCUGUGCCACCAACUGGCCUUCCCUGCCGGGUUUUGCUCCAAGACCUUUAGGGUUGCGGACCCAGCAAAUAAAAGUACAGGACAUGGGAUCGGCA